RNAcentral lists this long non-coding RNA (809 nucleotides) under Polistes fuscatus (common paper wasp). Its description in RNAcentral is "uncharacterized LOC122516687, transcript variant X1". The record is from RNAcentral. Lineage: Eukaryota; Metazoa; Arthropoda; Insecta; Hymenoptera; Vespidae.
UCUUAUCGAUAAUGAUAAAUCUUGUAUUAUUGAUUUGGAUUAUCGAUUAGGUACCAAAUUACUGCUCCAAUUUCAAUACCUUCACAGAUGGCAUACAACAUCAAAUUUUUUAAAGAUGUAAAUAAAUUGAUUUUUGAUUUAUUUAAUAAGUAAAUGAUCAUUUCGAGUUUAACUAACGUAGUCAAAAAGAAAGACGAGUUAUCGUACGUGUGACGACAAGCUUGUGUGCGUAUAUAAGACGUUUCAAAACAAUUUCAAUUUGCAAGUAAGAAAAUAUUCAUCUAAUUUUAUCCAAUCGAUUAACGAUACUUUUCUAAUGACUCUCUUAAACUCAUAUUAUAAAAUUUUAUAUAAGAUAUAAUACUCUACAAUUUGAUAAUUAUCUUAUUUAUCAUGUUUUUUUAUUUAUAAAAAUAUUUACAUUUUUAUAUGGUCACGUCUAACCUACAAGACUGCAAUUGCUCAGCCAAUCAGCGUUAUUUCCAUGGCGUCCAUGUUGAAGAUCAUGAGGAAGUUUCGUCGUCCUGUUAAUUUCAGGUUUCCGAGUUUGGAAGAAUACAGCACAAAACACAUAAUCUUAUAAAAUUGUGUUUCCUUUUGUAUUUUCUUCAUAUUUGUCGAGGAGAUUCUCCAGUCAAGAUCGAAACAAAGAAACAAACAUUGGACACACUGCAUUCAACAGAGAAAGAGAAAGAGAGGGAGAGAUAGAUCUAGCUUCUUCUUCCGUCCUUCAACACGUUAAAACAAACAAAAGUGAUGUAUUAAAUUAUUGAAUAAUUUUAAUUAUUUUAAUUUUAAUAAAAAAUGGU